AAACCAACAGGGAUUGCCUUAGUAGCGGCGAGUGAAGCGGCAAAAGCCUCAAAUUUGAAAUCUGGCUCUUUCAGAGUCCGAGUUGUAAUUUGAAGAAGGUAUCUUUGGGUCUGGCUCUUGUCUAUGUUUCUUGGAACAGAACGUCACAGAGGGUGAGAAUCCCGUGCGAUGAGAUGAUCCAGGCCUAUGUAAAGUUCCUUCGAAGAGUCGAGUUGUUUGGGAAUGCAGCUCUAAGUGGGUGGUAAAUUCCAUCUAAAGCUAAAUAUUGGCGAGAGACCGAUAGCGAACAAGUACAGUGAUGGAAAGAUGAAAAGAACUUUGAAAAGAGAGUGAAAAAGUACGUGAAAUUGUUGAAAGGGAAGGGCUUGAGAUCAGACUUGGUAUUUUGUAUGUUACUUCUUCGGGGGUGGCCUCUACAGUUUAUCGGGCCAGCAUCAGUUUGGGCGGUAGGAGAAUUGCGUUGGAAUGUGGCACGGCUUCGGUUGUGUGUUAUAGCCUUCGUCGAUACUGCCAGCCUAGACUGAGGACUGCGGUUUAUACCUAGGAUGUUGGCAUAAUGAUCUUAAGUCGCCCG
This 574-nucleotide ribosomal RNA is filed under the name Candida tropicalis. RNAcentral describes it as "partial large subunit ribosomal RNA". It matches the Rfam family "Eukaryotic large subunit ribosomal RNA", at positions 62 to 651 of the family's 3401-position model. The record is from RNAcentral. Lineage: Eukaryota; Fungi; Ascomycota; Pichiomycetes; Serinales; Debaryomycetaceae.